GUGCUAUUUAAAUAAUUAUGGCAAGGAUUUCAAUGGUGGACUCUUUCGUUUCUAGGAUGGCCAGUCAAUGUCAAUUAUGCCAAUGGCUGGAGUUGCAAAUUUUGGGCUAACUAAACUUAGGGAAGUUGGAAGCUCUUUAUCACUUCAUACUCGUCUUGUGGGAACAUUUGGAUACAUGCCUCCAGUUGGAUCAGAAUGCUUCAACCAACUAAAGGUUGUUACGGCCGCAGCACCAACAAUACUUCUGGC
This is a long non-coding RNA of Arachis stenosperma, 249 nucleotides long. RefSeq lists it as uncharacterized. Lineage: Eukaryota; Viridiplantae; Streptophyta; Magnoliopsida; Fabales; Fabaceae. The record is from RefSeq and is a predicted model, not a curated record. The transcript is spliced from 4 exons.